CAGUGCCGCGGGAAAACGAAGGGGGCUAGCGUUGUUCGGAUUUACUGGGCGUAAAGGGCGCGUAGGCGGAUUUGUAAGUCAGGGGUGAAAUCCCGAGGCUCAACCUCGGAACUGCCUUUGAUACUGUGGAUCUUGAGUCCGGGAGAGGUGAGUGGAACUGCGAGUGUAGAGGUGAAAUUCGUAGAUAUUCGCAAGAACACCAGUGGCGAAGGCGGCUCACUGGCCCGGAACUGACGCUGAGGCGCGAAAGCGUGGGGAGCAAACAGGAUUAGAUACCCCUGUAGUCCCUGUCUCUUAUACC
This 301-nucleotide ribosomal RNA is filed under the name uncultured bacterium. Its description in RNAcentral is "partial 16S ribosomal RNA". It matches the Rfam family "Bacterial small subunit ribosomal RNA", at positions 509 to 808 of the family's 1533-position model. The record is from RNAcentral.